RNAcentral lists this ribosomal RNA (266 nucleotides) under uncultured bacterium. RNAcentral describes it as "partial 16S ribosomal RNA". It matches the Rfam family "Bacterial small subunit ribosomal RNA", at positions 62 to 339 of the family's 1533-position model. The record is from RNAcentral.
UCGAGCGAGAAUUAUCAUAAGUUACUUAAGAUAAGGAAAGCGGCGGACGAGUGAGUAACACGUAAGAACUCCCCCUGUACUCAGGAAUAACUCAUCGAAAGAUGAGCUAAUACCGGAUAGUCUCGAAAGAGUAAAGCUUUUGCGGUACAGGAGAGGCUUGCGGCCUAUCAGUUUGUUGGUGAGGUAAAAGCUCACCAAGACUAUGACGGGUAGCUGGUGUGAGAGCAUGACCAGCCACGAUGGGACUGAGACACGGCCCAUACUCC